This 494-nucleotide ribosomal RNA is filed under the name uncultured Bacteroidota bacterium. Its description in RNAcentral is "uncultured Bacteroidetes bacterium partial 16S ribosomal RNA". The record is from RNAcentral. Lineage: Bacteria; Pseudomonadati; Bacteroidota.
CACGGAGUUAGCCGAUCCUUAUUCGUACCGUACUUUCAAAAACCCUACUCGUAAGGCAUUUUACCCCGGUACAAAAGCAGUUUACAACUCGUAGGGCCGUCGUCCUGCACGCGGCAUGGCUGGUUCAGGAUUCCUCCCAUUGACCAAUAUUCCUCACUGCUGCCUCCCGUAGGAGUCUGGUCCGUGCUCAGUACCAGUGUGGGGGAUUAACCUCUCAGUUCCCCUAGAUAUCGCAGCCAUGGUGAGCCGUUACCUCUCCAUCCAGCUAAUAUCACGCAUGCCCAUCCGGAACCACCUCAGUUUUCAACCGACAAAGAUGCCUUCGUCAGUAUUACGGAGUAUUAGACCAAAUUUCUUCGGAUUAUCCUCCUGUCCCGGGCAGGUUGCAUACGCGUUACGCACCCGUCCGCCGGUCGCCAUCCAAUAAAGUAUGCUAUUCAUUAUGCUCGCCCCUCGUACUGCAUAGUGUUAGGCCUGCCGCUAGCGUUCAUCCU